Molecule: long non-coding RNA, 2105 nt
Filed under: Apis mellifera (honey bee)
Lineage: Eukaryota; Metazoa; Arthropoda; Insecta; Hymenoptera; Apidae
Description: uncharacterized LOC107966072
Source: RNAcentral
AAUUGAAAGAGAUAUAAUUAAAAUUUCAUGUAUCUAUGUAUGUAAUUUUAAAGUAAAAUAAGAUUAAUUAUCCGCGGCAGAAAAACGCAACAAAUAAAUUAGCAAUUAGCGUCGUAUAAUAUUUGCAACAUCAUAAUUCUAAUAAAAUUCAUAAAUUUAAAUAAUACUUUUAUACAGACACUAAUAAAACGUAUAAUUAAUUCUCGAGACAAAAAUACAACGCGGAAUAAAUCAAAUGUAUAUGCACGACGAUAUUUUUUGUUUCAUCGCAGUUUAAGUCUCGAUGCUUAAUUAAAUUAAGUACGUCGUAUGAUCGUCGAUAUAGCAACGACAAUCACGCGCGAGGACGUUGAGAAUUAAGUUGAGAAUUAAGAGUAAGCAAGAGCAAGACGAGGGAAUCGAAGUAUAAUCUUUCACUGGACAUUUCGAAAGAGAAAUGACGCGCCGUUGAAUUCGGAUCGCGGAUGAAGAAACACAGGCGUAAUUAGUGUUGCCAGCAUCAUCGCAAAAUUGAAAACGAAUGGACAAACCGGUCGCAGUGAUAUUGAGAAUUGUGCCAAGGGACGGGAAUAUCCGCGUGAAUCGACUGUCUCGGUGCUGUUGGCUAACUCAUACUAUGUCUGUUCGCCCGUGAACGUACAAAAGAUCCUGUGUUUCGAUGCACAGAGGACAGAUAUAUAUAUAUACGUAUAGGCGCACGUUUAAUUGCGAGAUAGGGGCGCGGUGUUCAGUUAUGUUAGCGAAAUUGACGGACGCACGAACGUGACAACCGAGAAAGUUUGAACUUUCUACCCUUGCGCCUGUACGUACACUUGGGUUUAAUUUGUAAAGUGUUGUCAAAAGUCACGAGCGAUACGUUUGAUUGAUAGUGGAAAAAAAGAUGGUGGCGCGUAACGCGAUUAUAAUACUUUCUGUUAAUUAAUUAUUACGAGAUUAUUAUUAUAUCCGCAAGAUCCAUCCUUGUAUGCAAAAUUUAUAACGUUCUAAAAUGAUUAAACGUAAAAAUGAAUAUCGUGGGAUAGACCGUGUGCUAGGGAUAUUACAUAAGCGUUACGACACAUUACGAAAUCGAUCAACUUUCGCCUCUAAACGUCAUUGCAUCGUUGCGCCAAAAUUAAAAAGAAGGAGAAAAAAAAAAUAAAUCUCAAAUUUAUCAUUAAAUCAUUUAAAAAAAUCAUGAUUAACUCUCGAGUGUACAUCUGUGUAUACACACUCGAUAAAAAUACAAUUCUCCGCGCUUUUGUCUUCAGAAACGAUGACAUUUGUAUUUAAAAGCGAAUUUGUAUUUAAAACUUGUACAAGCUUUAUACAUAAUGAGCGCGUUCUCGCAAAUACAAAUUGUUAUAUGGAUGUAUACCCAUAGGGAGACACGUAUACAAAUAAACAUACAGGUUUGUAUACAUAUUAUAUACAUACAUACAUACAUACAUAUAUAUAUAUAUAUAUAUAUAUAUAUAUAUAUAUAUAUAUAUCGAAUACCCAACGGACGACAGAACGUACAAGAGAAUAGCGUAGUAUAAAGCAUAAACUACAAUUAGCGGUAAUCCGCGUGACACGGGCAUGGCACCCUUUGCGCAUAUUAAAGCAUUAGCUACCGAGUCAUACGAGCGAACCGUACAUCAUUUCAGGACGUGGCCACGUCUGCCACGGUAAAAUCGUUAAAUUUACGAAGAAACACGACUGGCUCGAUACGUUGUGACUGAAUUUUAGUAGCGGUCUAGAUACGUCCCGGUAUACGCGUGGACAGUGGACUGUCACCGGUGUAUAUCGUGUAUAUAUCGCGUACGAUACUAUGGAAAUAUGUAUUAUUUCGGGAUCACUAGCGGAAAAAAUCGGUUAUAUAUAGAGAUAAAUUACGAAUGAAAUUCAAUGGGAAAAGUUGCAUACUGUGCUUUGUGAAGCAUGUGGAAUGAAAUAUUGAUAAUUGAUCAUUUUGAUUUUGAUCUUGUUCAAUGAAGAAUUAUCGAAGGUUUUGGAUUAUCGCAUAUUCGAAUCAGCCAUCCCAAGAAAAUUGAAGAAGAAUAAGAGCAGAUUGAUUGUUUGAUUGUAUUGAUAAAAUUUCCUAUAUGCGAGACUAAUAAAACGAUUACGGAUGAUUAUAAAAA